GUGAGGAAUAUUGGUCAAUGGACGAGAGUCUGAACCAGCCAAGUCGCGUGAAGGAAGACGGUUCUAUGAAUUGUAAACUUCUUUUGUGCAGGAAUAAAGUGGGUUACGUGUAACCUUUUGUAUGUACUGUACGAAUAAGUAUCGGCUAACUCCGUGCCAGCAGCCGCGGUAAUACGGAGGAUCCGAGCGUUAUCCGGAUUUAUUGGGUUUAAAGGGUGCGUAGGUGGAUUGAUAAGUCAGCGGUGAAAGUUUGCAGCUUAACUGUAAAAUUGCCGUUGAAACUGUCGGUCUUGAGUGCAAAUGAGGUAGGCGGAAUGUGUUGUGUAGCGGUGAAAUGCUUAGAUAUAACACAGAACUCCGAUUGCGAAGGCAGCUUACUGGGAUGCAACUGACACUGAUGCACGAAAGCGUGGGUAUCAAACAGGAUUAGAAACCCCAGUAGUCC
Molecule: ribosomal RNA, 445 nt
Filed under: uncultured bacterium
Lineage: Bacteria
Description: partial 16S ribosomal RNA
Rfam family: Bacterial small subunit ribosomal RNA
Source: RNAcentral